CCCCUACGGGACGCAGCAGUGGGGAAUAUUGCACAAUGGGGGAAACCCUGAUGCAGCAACGCCGUGUGAGUGAAGAAGUCAUUCGUGAUGUAAAGCUCUAUCAGCAGGGAAGAAAAUGACGGUACCUGAGUAAGAGGCCCCGGCUAACUACGUGCCAGCAGCCGCGGUAAUACGUAGGGGGCAAGCGUUAUCCGGAUUUACUGGGUGUAAAGGGAGCGUAGACGGCAUGGCAAGUCAGAUGUGAAAGCCCGGGGCUCAACCCCGGGACUGCAUUUGAAACUGUCAGGCUGGAGUGCCGGAGAGGG
RNAcentral lists this ribosomal RNA (305 nucleotides) under uncultured bacterium. RNAcentral's name for it is "bacterial SSU rRNA". It matches the Rfam family "Bacterial small subunit ribosomal RNA", at positions 336 to 658 of the family's 1533-position model. The record is from RNAcentral.